UACGUAGGGUGCAAGCGUUGUCCGGAAUUAUUGGGCGUAAAGAGCUCGUAGGCGGUUUGUCGCGUCGAAUGUGAAAACCCGGGGCUCAACCCCGGGCCUGCAUUCGAUACGGGCAGACUAGAGUUCGGUAGGGGAGUCUGGAAUUCCUGGUGUAGCGGUGAAAUGCGCAGAUAUCAGGAGGAACACCGGUGGCGAAAGCGGCUCUCUGGGACGGUACUGACGCUGAGACGCGAAAGCGUGGGGAGCAAACAGG
Molecule: ribosomal RNA, 253 nt
Filed under: uncultured bacterium
Lineage: Bacteria
Description: partial 16S ribosomal RNA
Rfam family: Bacterial small subunit ribosomal RNA
Source: RNAcentral